Molecule: ribosomal RNA, 519 nt
Filed under: uncultured bacterium
Lineage: Bacteria
Description: bacterial SSU rRNA
Rfam family: Bacterial small subunit ribosomal RNA
Source: RNAcentral
GAUGAGCAUGCGUCCCAUUAGCUAGUUGGUAAGGUAACGGCUUACCAAGGCUACGAUGGGUAGGGGUCCUGAGAGGGAGAUCCCCCACACUGGUACUGAGACACGGACCAGACUCCUACGGGAGGCAGCAGUGAGGAAUAUUGGACAAUGGGCGCAAGCCUGAUCCAGCCAUGCCGCGUGCAGGAUGACGGUCCUAUGGAUUGUAAACUGCUUUUAUACGAGAAGAAACACUCCUUCGUGAAGGAGCUUGACGGUAUCGUAAGAAUAAGGAUCGGCUAACUCCGUGCCAGCAGCCGCGGUAAUACGGAGGAUCCAAGCGUUAUCCGGAAUCAUUGGGUUUAAAGGGUCCGUAGGCGGUUUAAUAAGUCAGUGGUGAAAGCCCAUCGCUCAACGGUGGAACGGCCAUUGAUACUGUUAGACUUGAAUUAUUAGGAAGUAACUAGAAUAUGUAGUGUAGCGGUGAAAUGCUUAGAGAUUACAUGGAAUACCNAUUGCGAAGGCAGGUUACUACUAAUUGAU